This 77-nucleotide transfer RNA is filed under the name Candidatus Pelagibacter communis. Its description in RNAcentral is "tRNA-Arg". It matches the Rfam family "tRNA". Rfam says of the family: Transfer RNA (tRNA) molecules are approximately 80 nucleotides in length. Their secondary structure includes four short double-helical elements and three loops (D, anti-codon, and T loops). Lineage: Bacteria; Pseudomonadati; Pseudomonadota; Alphaproteobacteria; Candidatus Pelagibacterales; Candidatus Pelagibacteraceae. The record is from RNAcentral. RNAcentral also lists the same sequence under 34 other names.
GCGCUCUUAGCUCAGCUGGAUAGAGCAUCGGUUUUCUAAACCGAGGGUCGGUGGUUCGAGUCCACCAGAGCGCACCA